This is a long non-coding RNA of Columba livia (rock pigeon), 2443 nucleotides long. RefSeq lists it as uncharacterized. Lineage: Eukaryota; Metazoa; Chordata; Aves; Columbiformes; Columbidae. The transcript has 2 exons. The record is from RefSeq and is a predicted model, not a curated record.
CGUGCUGAAAAAGGGAUAAAAAAUACAGCUGAGAAAUAAAAUGGAGGGAAGUAGAAGAGAGGAGAUCGUGCUGAGCGCAGAUUAACUCUGUUCUCUGCAUUUAUUUAGAGAGCUGGUGUGGUGGCCUCAGGCAGAAAUCCCUCCUUACGUGCAUGGGAAUGAGGGAGAGACCCAAGGCCAGGCCUUGCUGGGCAGGAAGUGGAAUUUUCCGAGGGGUUCACAUCCUUCCCUGCGCUUUUUGCCAAGAUUUUCUCUCCUUGCUGCCUCCUAGAGACAUCGGGGAAAAGGCCUUGAAGAUGGGGCGUGCUCUAGGUCUGUUUAAACGGAAUAAUUAAAGAAUGAAGCAGAUGGAAAAGACGGAAGAGGAUAAAGCAGGAACGGAGCAGCACAGAAAACUGCCAGCCCUGCACUAACGCGGUACAGGAGAGAGCACGGAUGCCGGGAGAGACAGAGAGAAAGCAGGCGUAUCGACUCUGCACGUCGCAUUCCUCACAAUUAAAAGAAGUAUUUGUAAUUAAACGGCUGUCAGAAUUUGUGCGUUAAACCUUAUAUUUAAAACGGGGAGAGGAAAUUCAGUUCGCUGUAGUCUCCUCAGGGCUCAGUCCUAGAAGAUGCGAAGCCACUGGCCUCAGGCCAUCUGAGUACUUAAGUCUAUGCGUAAUUUUAAACAUCAGCAGUCCGGGGGAUUUUGAGCAUAUACUCCCUUAAAGUUAACCAUGUACUCAGCACUUUGCAGGAGCCGCCCAGAAUACUCAUAUCAGCUCCUAAGUCAAGAAAGCGAGUAUCUGUACCUCUGAGAAAACAAAGAAAAUCCUGUGAAAAGGGCCAAAGACCUUUUUGAUUUCUAAAAGACGCCGGUUCAUCAGUGCUGGGAACUCAGAUCACAAUGCAAUCGAAUCUCUAGGGGAAGUCAGCUGAAUCUGGGCUUAUUUGUACAAGACCAUCACCGGGCAAAUUCAUUCUAGUAUUUGCGGUGAAGUUCUACAAUGGUGUAGUUUCCACAGCACUGCGACUCAAUCAUAUGAUGUGCUUUGAAAAUCUCUUGCAAAACUUAAUUUUAAGAGAUUUUGUUGAUAUUCUGCAGGCACACACAUAAUCCAGAGAAAGAACACACCAACUAUUAAAUAUUCAUGCUAUGGGGGAGAACGCACUUAGUAACAUCCCUUCGUUUCAGACGUACAAAGGCGGGCACAAAUAACUGAUAGAAAAUGUCAUAAAAUUGCAAUAUUCCACAUAAACAAGGUGUUGACCAGCGUUGAAACAUUCGAUCGUGAACGGGUCAGACUGCAAUUCUACUCGUGCACCUUUCAAUAGUCAUCCAGAAAUGUGUAUUUUCCAAAUGUCAAUUCUGUGAUCUAACCCACAUGGGGAGCUUUAGGACUUCACACACACAGGACUCUGCGUGCAGGGAUGUGACUGAUUUUCUGCUUUUAAGGCUGCCAGCCUGUCAUUUUGUUCAAACAUACAUGCUAUAAGAUUCCCGGCUUCACGAGUUAUAUACCUCAGUGAAAUUUACUUGCAUUAGGAGCAAAAAGUGAAGCACAUUCAGACCAGCUUCAGUGGAACUUUUGGAAUCCAGCACUGGGACUGUGAAACAUGGUCAUUUGGAUCUAACGGUUAUCGGUGACUUCACAGAGACCCACAACCAAACCUCGGCGAUGUUACUUUAUAAAGGUUCAUACUACCACACACACCUCCAGUAAAACAAAAGCUUUGGUCAGAACUCUUGACUUGCCCUGUAAACCAGGAUCCUGAGUUCCAGACAUACUGAAGAAUCAUGAAAAAGAUGUAAUUUUCAAAUAUUUAUUAAAAAACAACCAACAAAACCCUCAAACCUUCAAGGGUUGUUGCUUCCAUUCCUAUAUUUAUAACAAGGUACCUGAGCGAAACGUGCUCAGAAAGAUUCAUAAUCAUUAUAUGUGCUGGUAAGGAGUGUAAUGACAUAUUUUAGGAACCAAAGUGUUUAAAAGUAACCAUUUUUCCUACCUCCAGGAGACAUAACGAAACAGCUAGGUUUUCAGUGGCAUGGGUCCACGUAAUCAUCUGACCCUCCAGAUUCACCUUCUUAUUGUAUUGUUUCACUUAUUUUGUCUAUUUUUAGACUGUAUUUCUUAAGGACUACUGCACACAUACGUGUGGAGUCGUCACAACACUUCACUUUCUGUUUAAACACAGGAAAGACAGCAGGAAAUUAUAGUGAAGCGACAUGAAGAACGAAACUUCGGGAUGUCAGUGAUCGGUGUAACAAUCCGCUGGUGUGACCAACAGGAUCACGGAGUCCUGGGUUCAGCUGUCGUCCGUUAAGAAGCUUCUUAGGGUGUUUUUAAGGACUUUGCAAUACUUCAAAACUCACGACUUUUCCUGCAUCAAUAGCCACAAUGCAGCACCUUUGAAAAUGCAAAAAAAAACCCCUUCAACAAAUAAAACAUGAAGCUAUAGUUGA